Molecule: ribosomal RNA, 1336 nt
Filed under: Polyblastia abscondita
Lineage: Eukaryota; Fungi; Ascomycota; Eurotiomycetes; Verrucariales; Verrucariaceae
Description: eukaryotic LSU rRNA
Rfam family: Eukaryotic large subunit ribosomal RNA
Source: RNAcentral
AACAGCUCAAAUUUGAAAUCUGGCUCCUCUGGGGGUCCGAGUUGUAAUUUGUAGAGGAUGCUUCGGGCAAGGUCGCGGUCUAAUUUGCUUGGAACAGCGAGUCACAGAGGGUGAGAGUCCCGUCUAGGACCGCGCGCCGCGUCCAUGUGAAGCUCCUUCGACGAGUCGAGUUGUUUGGGAAUGCAGCUCUAAAUGGGUGGUAAAUUUCAUCUAAAGCUAAAUAUUGGCCAGAGACCGAUAGCGCACAAGUAGAGUGAUCGAAAGAUGAAAAGCACUUUGAAAAGAGAGUUAAACAGUAUGUGAAAUUGUUGAAAGGGAAGCGCUUGCAACCAGACUUGCGUGUGACGGUUCCCCCCAUCUUCUGAUGGGGCUAUUCCGUCAUCUCCAGGCCAGCAUCGGUUCGGGUGGUCGGUUAAAGACCUCGGGAAUGUAUCUACCUCCGGGUCGACUUAUAGCCCGGGGUGCAAGGCGGCCCACCCGGACCGAGGAACGCGCUCCGGCUCGGAUGCUGGCGUAAUGGUUGUAAGCGGCCCGUCUUGAAACACGGACCAAGGAGUCUAACAUCUAUGCGAGUGUUUGGGUGUCAAACCCCUACGCGUAAUGAAAGUGAACGGAGGUAAGAACCCCGCCAGGGCGCAUUAUCGACCGAUCCUGAUGUCUUCGGAUGGAUUUGAGUAAGAGCAUAGCUGUUGGGACCCGAAAGAUGGUGAACUAUGCCUGAAUAGGGUGAAGCCAGAGGAAACUCUGGUGGAGGCUCGCAGCGGUUCUGACGUGCAAAUCGAUCGUCAAAUUUGGGCAUAGGGGCGAAAGUAAGUCAAGCUCCUUAGCGCCCGCUGGCACCGUCAAAACAGAACACUAAUCUUUCUCUAGGACCAAUCGAACCAUCUUUAAACGUUGCCGGGUGGUUAAUCCCCCCACUUUCAGUUGGGUCAGUCUGAUACUCGGUAUCGGGCGACGUCGUCAGUCUUCGGGGAUGUCCUUACGGCUAUCCGAAGCCGUCCUUGUGUUGGGACGGUCCACAGACUAGACAGUGACGGCCGGAGCCUCUUGACGGGGACGGUGAUUAUAUAGUCGAGUAAAGCUGUGGGAUCUCGCGAGCGUUCUAACCAGAACACUCGGUAGGACCCGUACAUCAUCUUGUAUACCUCAUUGGUCGAGCGAGAUCCCGCAGCUUUUGAACGCUGGUAGCUGGUUCCUGUCGAAGUUUCCCUCAGGAUAGCAGUAACGUUUUCAGUUUUAUGAGGUAAAGCGAAUGAUUAGAGGCCUUGGGGUUGAAACAACCUUAACCUAUUCUCAAACUUUAAAUAUGUAAGAAGUCCUUGUUACUUAAUUGAAC